Molecule: ribosomal RNA, 477 nt
Filed under: uncultured bacterium
Lineage: Bacteria
Description: partial 16S ribosomal RNA
Rfam family: Bacterial small subunit ribosomal RNA
Source: RNAcentral
GAUGAACGCUGGCGGCGUGCCUAAUACAUGCAAGUCGAGCGAACAGACGAGGAGCUUGCUCCUCUGACGUUAGCGGCGGACGGGUGAGUAACACGUGGAUAACCUACCUAUAAGACUGGGAUAACUUCGGGAAACCGGAGCUAAUACCGGAUAAUAUAUUGAACCGCAUGGUUCAAUAGUGAAAGACGGUUUUGCUGUCACUUAUAGAUGGAUCCGCGCCGCAUUAGCUAGUUGGUAAGGUAACGGCUUACCAAGGCAACGAUGCGUAGCCGACCUGAGAGGGGGGCCGGCGAAAUGGGGACUGGGGGAAGGACCAGACGCGUAUGGGAGGGAGCAGGGAGGAGUAUUGUAAAAUGGGAGGAAGCCUGAGGAAGAAACGCCGAGUGAGGGAUGACGGCUUUUGGGUUGUAAACAGCGUUCGCCUGUGACGAAGCGGGAGUGACGGUAAUGGGUAAAGAAGCAACGGCUAACUACGUG